CUCUACAGUCAUACACCACCCUGAACACGCCUGAUCUGGGCUGAUCUAGGAAGCUAAGCAGGGUUGGGUCUAGUUAGUACUUGAUUGGACACUGCUUGGGAAUAUUGGGUGCUGUAGGCU
This 120-nucleotide ribosomal RNA is filed under the name Prolemur simus (greater bamboo lemur). Lineage: Eukaryota; Metazoa; Chordata; Mammalia; Primates; Lemuridae. The record is from RNAcentral.